ACCCACCAGACAAGAAUCCGAACCCGAGAAUGCCGUUCUGAAGCUAGCUUGGUACGGCUCUGAACUUCUUGGAAUCGCCGCUUCAUUUUUCCGUUCACCUUCAACUACUGAAGCUCCCCAAAGGGAACUCAAGCUCGGUGCUGAUGAAUUAGGAAGCAUUGAUCGUGCCAUGGUUGUGGAAACUAUCAAAGAGGAUUUCCAAAGAUCCUAUUUCGUUACAGGUUUUUGGGAAUUGCACAUUUACAUUUCACAACUAAUUAUUGUUGAUUUUUGGUUUCUGCUUCGUCUUUAAUAAGAUGAUAAUGAUCAAAAUAAUUAUCAAGGCGAUUAUACUGUAAAGUAAUCUACCUGAUAAUAAUUGGUUAAUUACAAUUUGAACGAAAAGCUUUAAUUUUAUGGUUUAUGGGUUUUGGAAGAAAUUAUUGUCAUAAUCAUUCUUUUCCAAUGACUAGGAAAUCUCACACUCAAUGCAUACGAGGAGGAUUGUGAAUUUGCCGAUCCAGCUGGUUCAUUUAGAGGACUUACACGUUUCAAGAGAAACUGUACAAAUUUCGGAUUACUUAUUGAGAAGUCGAAUAUGAAUCUUACAAAGUGGGAAGAUUUUGAGGUGAGAUCAUUGUGUUUUAGGCAUUAUGUUCAACAGAGCUGGGGAAGUUUCAUUCAUGGAUUUUGCCAACACUAGUGGUUAGCUCCUCAACAUCUAAGUAUCAGUCAAAACGCUGAAAUAACUUGAAAGUCAUAGAGUGUCUUAUUUUUGCUUUGGUUAAUGAUUUACCUUAGAGAACUCUUGACACCAAAAACUUUGUUUGGUUACAGGACAAGGGAAUUGGGCAUUGGCGUUUUAGCUGUAUCAUGUCAUUUCCUUGGAGGCCUAUUCUCUCUGGUAUGCUCCAGGAUCUCACAUUAAACUCAUCAUAAAAGACAUGUUAUUGCUGUAGAUAACUGGUAUUUCCUUAGAAUUUUCACUAUAUUCUGUCCAUUUGGAAUAAGACUUUCGUAAAAAUUCAAUUCAAUUGAUUUAUUUUCUAAUGAUUCUUUUGUUUGGAAUGAAAGAAUUCCAUUCUUUUUAGCUCAAAAGCCUUUUAUUUGAAAAGGAGAAAAUCUUGUAUGAUUUUGCAAUAAUUCUUUUGAAUUCUUUUAUUGCAAAAUGAAUUAUGCUAAACAAGCGGAUUAAGCUCAAGAAUCUGUGAAUUGAAAGUGUGGUAGCAUCAAAACAAAAGCAAAAUUCUGUAGAAAAAUGUAUCACAAGAGAAAUGGUGUUUACUAUGGAUGGAUUUCUUCUAAAACUUCUACUGUCUAUAGAACCACAUCUUCAAGGCUUUUGUAUACAAUUUGAUAAUAUAGCUCCAGAUGCUUAGCUGAUUAGAUCUGACUCUGUAAAGCUAUAUUGCAGCUACUGGGUAUACAGAGUACUAUUUUGAUGCACAAUCUGGAAGAGUAUGCAGGUAAUGAUAAUGGGAUUAUGAGAAGACUUCAUUCUAUCUUUUCAAUAUUAUUGUUUCAGUCUUAAUUCAUUUAGCUAUGCAAACAUUUCAGGCAUGUAGAACACUGGAAUGUUCCCAAAAUGGCACUUCUAAAGCAGCUUCUAAAACCCAGCCAGGGAUCUUGGUUUGGUAAAAGAAACUCCUCAUGAAGAAUACAUGAACCUUUUCACUAGGAAAAAUAUAUAUGCAUUUAAUGAAAAUCAUAGUAAGGAUUGUGAAGGUUAGUGAGAGUUUUGGAUUCCUUUUGAGUGUUCAGAUGCAUGGUAACUAGUGAUAUUAACAACUUCCAAUCUUGAUGUAUGUAAUUUUUCGCAACACCCGCUAGCUAAAUCUAAAAAAAAAAAAGCAAAAAAAAAAAAAAAAAAACUGUUCAUAUCAUAAUCCACGUUUCAUGAGAUAGCUGAGUUUAAUUGUCUUCGGUUUUUUGUCAUGGCCCAAACAUGAGUAGCUUUUAGACUUUACAUGAUUAAAAUUUUAAAUUUCCCUUGACCAAUAAUUUUCCUCCUAAAUUAGCUUUUUUAUUAUCAAUUUAUUUAUUUUUUAUAUUAUCCUAUUGGUGCCAUGUCAAUCCAUUUACAGGUAAAGUGACUAUAGCUAGUAUUUCCUCUAUUAAUGAGGACUAAACCUUCUACCUCGAUUAAUAGAAAUCAUUAAAUUUAAUGAUAUUAAAUUUAUUUACUUGUGUUUUAAUAAAUAAAUUUUAUGUAUUUUAUGAAAACUGAUAUGUAAAAUAACUUAAAUCUCUUUUAUUUUUGUUAUUUUUUAUUUAAUAAAUUUAUUCGGGAAAUCUGAAUUAGUUGAGAUAAUAAAUUUUGAUAUUAAAUGGUUUAUGAAAAUAAAAAAAUAACGCAUCAAUGCCGCAAAGUGCAAAGGACAUUUAGUUCUUCCUUUUUUGACAAUUUUCUUUUUCUUUCAUUGGGCUAAAAUAAUAUUUUCUGAAUGCUUAGAGGAUAUUCACGUGCUUUUAUUUUGUAUAAAAUUCAAUUAACUUGGUCUUAAAUUAAUUAAGAUAUUAUUAUGGGUUAAUUGGAUAUGCUAAAAAUUAUUUUAAAUUUUUUUUAUUAUAAUUAUUUGAUAAUAGCCAGAUUCCAAACGCCCGGCAUUGGCAAAAUUCAAAGCUGGCAAAAUUCGAAGCUAGAAAAACUGGACUUAAGCUUUGGGAGAGCUCAGUGCACGGCUCUGCUCUAAGUUUCGUAUGGAUGGGCUAGUCGGAAUAGAUUGAUCUGGACUGAAUAUGAAUAUGUUCUUAGGAUACUUGCUUUGAAUGUUCAUUUCUUCUCGUGGUAAAACAGACUUCACAAUAUCCAAAAAACAGACUUCACAAUAUCCAAAAUUAUAUUCAGAUGGCAUAAAAAAAAUUAAAUAAUUGUUUGGUGAGAAAGAAAAUGACAUCAUAUAUCUAUAUAUACUGCUAAAGUAAUUGCGGCAGAAGAGUAUGAAUAUGAAACAAUGAUUAUAAAUUAUUAAAAAAUUAAAAAUUAAAAAUACGUAAAAAAAAUAAAAAUAAAUUUACAAAAAUAUACUCUGAAACUAUUCUUAGAUAGCAGACAUUAUUAUUCAGAUUCAAAAUAAUUAGUCUGGAAUAUCUUUUGAACUCCAUUAUGUUAAAAGAAGGGAAAUCAAAUAUUCUUUUACAUAUAAUUUUACAUACUUAUAAACAAAUAUUGUACAAGAUAAAUUAAUAAAGUGCACAAUUUAAUAUUUUUAUUUAUAUAAUCUUGUAAGAAAAGGGUCAAACAACGUCACUAAUUCUUUUUAAAUGCUAAUUACACUUAUUUUGAUAUAAAUUAUGAAAAAUUACGAGAAAGUUAUUUAAUCAUCUUAAUCUUAUUUCAAAAAUGUCUGUCUGUCACAUUGAUAUAUACGACGCAAAAAUUAUAACAUAUAUUGAUUGCAUAAAAAUUCUGGGGAAUGCAUAUUGAAAUAUGUGUUAAUGAUAAUUCGCAGAAAUUCAAUACACUGUCCGACUGCAUUCAAAUUCAAAGUAGACAAUUGAGAGAUUAGAAGUGAUUAAUUAGUUUGGGUAAGAUUCUCUUGCUCUGCGUUAAUGGAAAAGAGGAGAAAGGUUUGUGUGACAGGAGCCGCAGGCUACCUUUGUUCUCACCUUGUGAAGAAGCUCUUAGAAAGAGGAUACAUCGUCCGUGCCACGACAAGGAAUCUGGGUUUGAUGACCUUUCCUUUUCAAGCUUUUAAUAUGCUUAUCUACUUAAUUUAAUGUUCCUGAUGAAAUUUUUGUACAUCCUCUAAAUUGCAGGUGAUACUUCUAAGGUAGGGCUUCUCAAGGGUCUUCCAAAUAGGGGAGAGUAUAAAUCGGUUUGAACUGAAAAUUAUUGAAUCGAACCGAUUAAUUUUAGUUUAAUGGUUUGGUUAAUUAGAAUAUUCAGUUCGGUUCGAUUAAUAUUUUUUAGUUUAUUCAGUUUUUGAUUCGAUUCGGUUUAAACGUGCUAAAUAACCGACAAAUCGAAUAACCGAUUUUAUAUAUACUUCUAUUAUGUGAAACACUGAUUUUAUAUAUAUUUUUAAAUUUUACAUGAAUUUUUAUGGAUUUUUUAAGUAUUAUCAUUAUGUAUUCUGACAAUAUUUAUUAGUAAAUUUAUUUGAAAUAUUUAUUAAAUUAUUAUACUAAAAUUAAAAGCAGAAAAUUAAAAAAAAAAAUUAUAGAUUUCGAUUUGAAUUGAACUGAAUAAAACCGAACUGAUUUUUAUCGGUUUGAUUUGGUUCGGUUAUAUUUUUAUAAUUGGUUUUUUUAGUUUUUAAUAUUUUUAUAAUUCGAUUUUUGGUUCGGUUCGGUUCAGAACCGAACCAACCGAUUGCACGGCCCUACUUCCAAAUGCAGAGACUAAAAUCAUAUACACUGCCUCUGCGGUGGCUGCAUCUCCUAUGAAAGAAGAUGGAACUGGAUUCAAAGACUCCAUGAAUGAAUCCUGUUGGACUCCCUUCAAUCUCUCAUUCCCUUACAGCAACGAGAUAGUGACGGUAAUCUUCUUAAUUUCUUCCUUAUUCAAUGAGCAUAUGAGCUCUUACAAAACAACCAAUUAUUAGUAAAUUAUGAAAAAUUAUUAAAAAAGAGAGAGAUUCUUUUAUUUUAUACUUUUAUCAUUAAUAUGAUGAGUAUUUAUUUGUAAUAUUUCAUAUUAUGAAACCUAUUCUUACAAGCAUUUACCAGAGGAAAAGUACAUAGAAUGAAAUAAUAAAUAAUGAAUAUUCACAAAAUAAUGUAUAAAUUAAAAAAAGACUUCAGCAAUUUAGGUCAAUAAUAAAAGAGACUAAAAUUUUAAAAGAUAACAAAUCUGUCUUGGUAAAAUUUAUUGUCAAUAAUAAAAGAAAAUAAAAUGAAGCAGCAAAUCCUAAGUCCUAACAACCGAGUGAGAGCGACCGGUGCUCCUAACAACCGAGUGAGAGCGACCGGUGCUCCAGUCUCUCUCUUUGGUCCGAUCAGCAGAGUAUGUUACAUAAGCAGAUUACGUAGAUUUUCUAAUCCAUAAUAAUUUCACCUGAAUUUUUAUAAGAUAUUAAAAAAGUCGAUGAAAUAAACCUUACACCUGCAAAACAAUAAUAUUGAAUAAAUUCUGAAAAAGUUCUUCUACUUUAUAUAAUUGGACCAAUCGUGCAAACUUUCUUGUACGUGUGAAUGGGGAUACCAUUAUGAUUUAUUAGAGAGAGAUAAUUAUUAAUCCCUAGCUGCUCCUAUAUAUAUGUGUGUUGAAAUGGGUAUGGAGAAAUGCAUCGAAAUAUUUGCAUAAGCUUAGGUUUUAGGAGGAGCUAACCCUAAUCCUCUGGCCUCAGCCACAAGCCAUUUGCUUUCCUGCAAACUUCCCCCUUAGGUUUGCACAAGCUUCUGAUCUCACGGUCUGCUAUGAUCCCUUUAACUCCAUAAUCUUAAUUUGUUUAAUUAAUCUGCUUUAUUUCUAGUUUACUGCAAUAUACAAUAUUUGUUUAUAACAAAUAUUUAUGAACGUCAUUCUAUUUUAUUUUAGCAUUUCACUCAUUUAGAAAGGGAAAAACUGUGAUAUUAUUAUCAUUAUUUUUAUUUUCUGAGAGCAUUAUUCUUCUUAUUAUUAUAGAUUAACGUCUCUAUGUAUGGAAUAUUUUAGCUGUGUAGAUAUGGAGAAGUCGGCAACAUUUGAUUCAUGUAUUUACCUUUUAUUUAGCAUUGUUUAUUUAUAAAAAAAAAAAAAUUAAAUGAUUUUUUUUAAAUCAUGUAAAAAUAAUGAUAAUCAUUUCUAUCCAUAUAGUUAAAUUCGAGUUAAUUAAAUUACUAUUAAAUAUUUAAUUUGAAUAUUGUUUAGAGGGAUGAUAUAGAUAUUUAAUUAUAUGAAUUUUUUCAUUUUUUGGAUUAUUAUGUCAACAAUUCUGCAAACUAGGUAUUCUCAGAGAUGGAAAGCACAAGAGAUGCUUCAAAUGAAAUUGAGGAUAAAAGCAAAGAGCUGAUAAUAAUCCACAACAUUCCACAAGUUUUGGACACGUUAAUAUCAGAGCCUGCAUUAUGGCCUGAGCUUUGUAUCUACAGGGUUCCAAGAAAACUUCGAGCAAUAAAUCCAGCACCAUACACACCUCAGUUGAUUUCAAUAGGGCCUUUUCACUGCGAGGACAAAGCUUUAAUGCCUAUGGAGAAGCAGAAGCUGCGAUACUUGGCAGAGUUCUCCAAAAGGACUGGGAUUCCUUGGACUGAGCUUGCCAAAAAAAUUAAAGAGUGGGAGAUAACAAUCCGCCAUUGUUAUGAAGAAACAUUUGAUAAGGUAUCUAGUGUCGAGUUCAUAAAGAUGAUUCUCCUGGAUUCUGUGUUCAUCAUCGAGCUCUUCUUGAGGAGAGGAGAAAAAUAUGGAUUAAUUAGAAAACAAAGGCAUGGAAAUUUUAAAGAUGAUUUUAUACUUGGAAAAUCAACAAGGGAAUAUUGUUUACUUGGGGAUUUGAUAUUGGUUGAAAAUCAGCUGCCUUACUUUGUUCUUGAUGAUUUAUAUGAAUUCUCCAUCGGCAAUGAUAAUGAAGAAGGCUAUCCUUCUUUCUUUAACCUCAUGAAAUUUAACUUACACGACUACUUAUCUCCUCCAGAAAUUCAAGAAAAUGAAAAUUCUCCCUGCGAUUGCUUCUCUUGCUUGUAUUGUUUCUGGAUUAGUAGAUGCUUCUCCUGUCAAAAGCACGACUGUCAAAGCCCAGAUGAUGAAGAAGAAGACGACCGCCUUCUGGAGAAACCCCUACAUUUCACUGAUUUGGUUCGGAAACAUCGAUCAUUCAAGCAUCCAAAGUCGAAGAAUGACGGGUCCGUGAUGAAGCUAUACAACGCCACAAUGCUACACGAGGCAGGAGUGAAGUUUAAGGCGAGUCCAGAGGCAUGGCCACUCGAUAUAAAAUUUGAGAGGGGAGAGUUGAAGAUUCCAAGAUUCUUAGCGGACGAUAACACGGAGCGUGUUAUUCGAAACCUGAUGGCUUUCGAGCAAUGUCAUUAUCCAGACCAGCCAUUGAUAUGCGAUUACAUUUGGGUACUUGAUUUUCUCAUCAACACGGCGAAAGACGUGGACUUGUUAGUUCGCAAGGGGAUCAUUGUGAACUUGCUUGGAGACAGCGAAGCAGUAGCCAAAUUGGUGAAUAAUCUGGGACUAGAAAUUACAGCAUCUGGGUCUUGUUUUUACGAUCUGAGUGAGCAGCUGAAUAAGCACUACGAGAAUCCAUGGUGCCGUACGGUGGCGAUCAUGAGAAGCGCGUAUUUCAGCAACCUGUGGAGAGGAACUGGAACAAUUGCUGCUAUUGUACUCCUGUUCUUCACCUUCACACAGUCUCUGUAUUCCAUCUCCCAGAUAUUCUAGGCUUGGCUUGAGAGCUUGUGUACUUUUCUGUUUAUACAGUGUCGUUUCUGUAUUCCAUCUCCCAGAUAUUCUAGCCAAAUUGAUGAAUUAGGAAGCAUUGAUCGUGCCAUGGUUGUGGAAACCAUCAAAGAGGAUUUCCAAAGAUCGUAUUUCGUUACAGGUUUUUGGGAAUUGCACAUUUACAUUUCACAACUAAUUAUUGUUGAUUUUUGGUUUCUGCUUCGUCUUUAAUCAGAUGAUAAUGAUCAAAAUAAUUAUCAAGGCGAUUAUACUGUAUAGUAAUCUACCUGAUAAUAAUUGGUUAAUUACAGUUUGAACGAAAAGCUUUAGUUUUGUGCUUUAUGGGUUUUGGAAGAAAUUAUUGUCAUAAUCAUUCUUUUCCAAUGACUAGGAAAUCUCACACUCAAUGCAUACGAGGAGGAUUGUGAAUUUGCCGAUCCAGC
This 7731-nucleotide long non-coding RNA is filed under the name Manihot esculenta (cassava). RNAcentral's name for it is "long non-coding RNA (MESC_LNC002636)". The record is from RNAcentral. Lineage: Eukaryota; Viridiplantae; Streptophyta; Magnoliopsida; Malpighiales; Euphorbiaceae.